GAUGAACGCUGGCGGCGUGCCUAACACAUGCAAGUCGAGCGAGAAGUUUGAAAAAUGAGUUUUCGAACAAGUGAUUCAAACGGAAAGCGGCGGACGGGUGAGUAACGCGUAGGCAACCUGCCCCGUGCAGAGGGACAGCCUCGGGAAACCGGGAUUAAGACCUCAUGAUAUCGGGUUAUCACAUGGUAAUCCGGUCAAAGAUUUAUCGGCAUGGGAUGGGCCUGCGUCUGAUUAGCUGGUUGGUGGGGUAACGGCCUACCAAGGCGACGAUCAGUAGCAGAACUGAGAGGUUCAUCUGCCACAUUGGAACUGAGACACGGUCCAAACUCCUACGGGAGGCAGCAGUGAGGAAUAUUGCACAAUGGGCGAAAGCCUGAUGCAGCAACGCCGCGUGAGCGAGGAAGGCCUUUGGGUCGUAAAGCUCUGUCCUUGGGGAAGAAACAAAUGACGGUACCCUUGGAGGAAGCCCCGGCUAACUACGUGCCAGCCGCCGCCGUAA
This 499-nucleotide ribosomal RNA is filed under the name uncultured bacterium. RNAcentral's name for it is "partial 16S ribosomal RNA". It matches the Rfam family "Bacterial small subunit ribosomal RNA", at positions 28 to 523 of the family's 1533-position model. The record is from RNAcentral.